This 115-nucleotide non-coding RNA is filed under the name Vibrio sp. qd031. The record is from RNAcentral. Lineage: Bacteria; Pseudomonadati; Pseudomonadota; Gammaproteobacteria; Vibrionales; Vibrionaceae.
AUUUGAAGACGUAGGGUACAGAGGUAAGAUGUUCUAUCUUUCAGACCUUUUGUUUCACGUUAUUGGAAUUAGAAUAAUUCAGCAGCCUCAAUCGAUAUGAUUGGGGCUUUUUUUA